This 256-nucleotide signal recognition particle RNA is filed under the name Otolemur garnettii (small-eared galago). RNAcentral's name for it is "Metazoan signal recognition particle RNA". It matches the Rfam family "Metazoan signal recognition particle RNA". Rfam says of the family: The signal recognition particle (SRP) is a universally conserved ribonucleoprotein. It is involved in the co-translational targeting of proteins to membranes. The eukaryotic SRP consists of a 300-nucleotide 7S RNA and six proteins: SRPs 72, 68, 54, 19, 14, and 9. The record is from Rfam by way of RNAcentral. Lineage: Eukaryota; Metazoa; Chordata; Mammalia; Primates; Galagidae.
GCCGGGUGUUGUGGCAGGCGCCUGUACUCCCAGCUACUUGGGAGGCUGAGGCAAGAGAAUAGCCUAAGCCUAGGAGGUGGAGGUUGCUGUGAGCUGUGAUGCCACACUACUCUAUCAAUGGUGACAAAGUGAAAAUCUGAAAGGAUUUUUUUUUUUAAGAGACAGAGCCUCAAGCUGUCCCCCUGGGUAGAGUGCUGUAGCAUCACAGCUCACAGCAACCUCCAACUCCUGGGCUCAAGUGAGUCUCCUGCCUCCA